AUGGCCUGGGCCCGGCUCCUCACACUAUUCACAGGCUCCAGUUCCCAGCAGCUGCAGUCACUGAAGCCGUCAGAGCAAGUGUCUCCUGGAGGGACUGUGACCAUCGCGUGCAGCCUGAGCAGUGAAGCCAUCACUGGUAACAGCUACCCAUACUGGGUGCAACAGAAACUGGGCCGUGCUCCUCGGCUGCUGAUGCUCCUCGGCACCAGCUCAUCAUUGAUCCAGCUCAGCUUGCUAAUGUCUGACUUCCACGGAUGCUCCUCUGGUAAGUACAUCGACUCCUCUGAGUCAGCCCUGGUGAAGAGCCUUUCAACUUUAGGCUUCUACUACUCAUCCCUGCCGGGGCAUUCUACUUUCCCGCGCUGCUCCGGGUGA
Non-coding RNA from Alligator sinensis (Chinese alligator), 375 nucleotides. The record is from the annotation of a RefSeq genome assembly. NCBI's taxonomy places the organism in Eukaryota, Metazoa, Chordata, Crocodylia, Alligatoridae.